Molecule: long non-coding RNA, 370 nt
Filed under: Drosophila guanche
Lineage: Eukaryota; Metazoa; Arthropoda; Insecta; Diptera; Drosophilidae
Source: RNAcentral
GUCAUGCAUAAUAAAAUUCCAAUAUAUUUGACCGUACGUACGUACGCCUUUGCCUUCGCCUUCGCCUUGUCUUGUCUUCGUUUCUCCUUCUCCGAUUGCGGAUCCUUAUCAAACACGAAAAGUGACGUGAGCCUCCUCCAACUCCAUCUCCAUAUCCCACUCAAAACUUCGUAGCCGAAACGUAGAAGAUGAGACACAGGACAGUCCGCACACACCCAUAGGAAAGUGUUGGGUUUUAUUGGCCAACGGGCAUUUGAUGCUCCAGCAAGUCCGAUGAUGACACUGACCCACUGAAGAGUCAAGACCAAGCCCAGGUUCGGCUUGAGGUCCCCAGGCAAUAGCAAGGUGAGACAGACGCCUCACUCAAUUG